This 433-nucleotide ribosomal RNA is filed under the name uncultured bacterium. RNAcentral's name for it is "partial 16S ribosomal RNA". It matches the Rfam family "Bacterial small subunit ribosomal RNA", at positions 29 to 507 of the family's 1533-position model. The record is from RNAcentral.
AACGAACGCUGGCGGCAUGCCUAACACAUGCAAGUCGAACGAGACCUUCGGGUCUAGUGGCGCACGGGUGCGUAACGCGUGGGAACCUGCCCUUAGGUUCGGAAUAACUCCCCGAAAGGGGUGCUAAUACCGGAUAAUGUCUUCGGACCAAAGAUUUAUCGCCUUUGGGUGGGCCCGCGUUGGAUUAGCUAGUUGGUAGGGUAAAAGCCUACCAAGGCGACGAUCCAUAGCUGGUCAGAGAGGAUGAUCAGCCACACUGGGACUGAGACACGGCCCAGACUCCUACGGGAGGCAGCAGUGGGGAAUAUUGGACAAUGGGCGAAAGCCUGAUGCAGCAAUGCCGCGUGAGUGAUGAAGGCCUUAGGGUUGUAAAGCUCUUUUACCCGGGAUGAUAAUGACGGUACCGGGAGAAUAAGCUCCGGCUAACUCCGUG